RNAcentral lists this long non-coding RNA (1345 nucleotides) under Homo sapiens (human). RNAcentral describes it as "HSALNT0400273". The record is from RNAcentral. Lineage: Eukaryota; Metazoa; Chordata; Mammalia; Primates; Hominidae.
GUGAGCUAGGGGGUGCAUAGGAGGAGCCUCCUCACAUUCAGGAAGGAGGUGUGGAACAGAGGCUCUUCCCAGGGCUCUUUCUGCCUCUGGAUGUUGGUGUUGAUGAUGUGAUGUCUGGAGCUGUUGCAACCACCUUGCUACCAGCUUGAGGCUGAAGCUUCAAGAACAGGAAGCCCCCAUAUUGUAUGAGCCUCAGGCCCUGCAGCACCUGGUCUGCCUGUGAUCAUGAAGAGAGUCCACCUGCCCAAGGAAAGACUGUGCCGUCUCAUGCUUCCCAGGCCUCCGAUGCACUCAUCCCUCCUUCCAGAGUGAUUUCUCUAUGCUGGGUGAGGGGUUUCCAACCUCUGCAGUUUCCAUCUUUUACCUCUGAUCUGGUGCAUGAUUUUUUCUAAAGGAACUCUUAGAAGACACUUAACAUGACCUGAUCAGGAACCUUCUUUAGCUUCUUCCAAGGACACAGCUCAGUGCCCAGAAGAUGGACCUGUUCACUCUCAGCUUCCCCGCAUCCUGCUCUGUUCCAAGGGAGCAGACACACAGGGAAAAGUCGGGGGAGUCCUGUGCAGAACCCCGACGUCACACCAUCUUCCCCAAGGAAGAUAGAAUUGUGUCAGAAAGGGACUGUUUUUCAAAAAAUCAGCUGUUCAUUGUGUGCCUGGAUGGUGGUCCCUUUGGUCAAUAAACCCUUCAUCCACAUGGAAAAUUAUGAGCACUUCCGUGCAAGAAAGACUUUGCCCCCAACCACAACAUCUGUGCACCUGCUGCUCUGCCCUCAGCCGCUCUCUCCCAGUAGAAGCCUGAAUCACUAAGUGCACCCUCCACUGAGAGGAUGAGGCCCAGAUUUGACUCCCCCGCUCAUGGCUGCCUGGGCGCUGCUACACUUCCCACAUCACAGACUCAGUUAAAUCCCAUGGGGGUGGAGAGGAAAUGGAAGCAGAUGCUGCUCACUCUCCCUGCCAGACCAUUCUCCUCCUGGCUUCCUAGGUGCAGCACGGUGGGUGCUGGCCUCAGGGCUGUUUCAGCAGCUUCCUCUUUGUCAUUUCCCUCUCAGUGUUCAUGGCAGCCACCCUUGGUCAAUGCAGCUCUGAGUGAGGAAGACAUUUCAGAGCCUUGGGCCAGAGGCACCUGUCCUGAGGGCUGCACCCCCUUCUCUUUGAACUAAAAUAGCAAAGAGAAGGACCGUGUGGGCUUGGGGCCAUGUGACUUAGGAGUGUAGCCUCCUGCUUGAGGCACAAAUAUCUACUAUUCUAUGAAUCAUGAUGACACUAAGUUUUUUUUAUUAAUUGGAACAUCAUCCUUGGAAAAAAACAGUCCACUUCAUGCCAGUCCCAUUUGUGUUUUAACUUCU